Long non-coding RNA from Tribolium castaneum (red flour beetle), 407 nucleotides. RefSeq lists it as uncharacterized. The record is from RefSeq and is a predicted model, not a curated record. Lineage: Eukaryota; Metazoa; Arthropoda; Insecta; Coleoptera; Tenebrionidae. The transcript is spliced from 2 exons.
CGUUGUUAUCGGUGUUAUUCGCAAGUAUUUUCCAUUCGUUUAUUGUGUUGUGGGCCAGACGCUCUAUAAAUGAAAUAAAAAUGGAAAUUACUUAACCUCACAUAUUGUGUGUAUACCACAGAUAUAAUUUACUAACUCGUGUUUCUAGAUGGUCAAAAUUACAAGUUCGAUGUUCAUACUUUUGCUUCUGGUAGUGAGAUAUGGACCUACAUAUUCAGUUUCAGCUUUCAGAUCUUUUACUUCUCACCUGCAGAAUACAUAAAAAUGAUUACAGAUUCCAACAAUUAACAAGAGUUACAUCUUGGUUUCGGGCAAUCCACACGUUAUUUCAUUACGAAAUUUCUUGUCCAUACUCUUUAUGUUAUAUUAUGUUUGUAUUAAAUGUAAUUAAAUAAGAUACUUUCGUA